AGAAAAUUGCAACUUUUGGCCCAAAGGUUUGAAUAAUUAAAUUCAAACCUAUAGUUUUUUUUUAAUAUAAUUUUGGGACUCACAAUCCCAUUUUUAUAUUAUUUUUCUCUCUUCCUCUCACGUUGCUCGGCGUUUUCUCACAAGGGGGGAUUAUUUUCUUUUUCUUCAGAUUAUAUUGACAAAGAUAGUGGUGAAAAAGGAGUUGUGAAGGGGAACUUGUUAUUCAAGACACAAGGAGCGAAUCCGGCCGAGAAAGCACCAGAGGUGUAACUGUGGUGUAUGAGACACCAUCUUUUACGUUGCCUCUUAUUUUAGAUUAUACAAUGUAUCUUGUGCCAACUUAGG
Prosopis cineraria is the source of this 345-nucleotide long non-coding RNA. RefSeq lists it as uncharacterized. The record is from RefSeq and is a predicted model, not a curated record. NCBI's taxonomy places the organism in Eukaryota, Viridiplantae, Streptophyta, Magnoliopsida, Fabales, Fabaceae. The transcript has 3 exons.